AUGGUUUCUCUUGCGAGUUUGUGCGGGUGCCGCAGUAGGAAAACCCAUGAAGACAUUCUUGACAUUAGGAAGAGUUUGCUGUAUACUUGCGCAACUAGCGAUGUGUUUGACGUUGACUUUCGGGGUUUGUUUGGCAUCGCACCUUGUGAGUGGCUGGAUCUUGGUGAGCCUGACUACAGGUUCUUUGGCAGCCAGUUCUCGGAAAGAUCUGGUGUUAUGAAGGGGCAGUUGGGAGCUCUGAGAGGUUCUACGGUUGCUUGUGCAGAGAGCCCCACUACACCAAAGAAUCCCAUUGUGGAAUUGAUAGAUAGCGAUGAUGAUGUCUUUGACAAGAUUUCUGGCGUGGGAAGAGUCACAAGGAGCGCUGCUGCCAAAGGUUUAUCUCCACUUGCUGGAAUAGUGGCUCGUAGAGCUGGUGGUGCUAGGAAAGAUCCUGCUUUGGAUUCUGGCAAUGUUGUAAGCACGAAGCGUGUGCCCAGAGCUCCUAUAAAGUUUUGCUCCCCUAUGCAACAGCUUCACCCUCAUAAAUUACCUCACCUGGACACGGCUCACAAGUUGUAUAAUUUGUUGCUUAGUGAUGAAUGGCGUGAGAAGUAUGCUGAGUGA
Molecule: ribosomal RNA, 606 nt
Filed under: Triticum aestivum (bread wheat)
Lineage: Eukaryota; Viridiplantae; Streptophyta; Magnoliopsida; Poales; Poaceae
Description: partial small subunit ribosomal RNA
Source: RNAcentral